GGGGGAGCUCGGGGCGCAUCCAGUGCCACCCCCUGCCCGGGCAGGGACACCUCCCGCUGCGCCAGGGUGCCCCAAAACCCGUCCAACCCGGCCGAAACGCUUCCCGGGGAGCCACCACACCUUCUCUGAGCGGGACGGGUGAAGUGGUUGUUUCCAGCUCAGCCGUGGAUGUACCAGCAAGUUCCAGCUUCUUCCUGGGAGCUAUGGCAACAGCAGACGUCUGAACAUCAGGU
Ficedula albicollis (Collared flycatcher) is the source of this 233-nucleotide long non-coding RNA. RefSeq lists it as uncharacterized. NCBI's taxonomy places the organism in Eukaryota, Metazoa, Chordata, Aves, Passeriformes, Muscicapidae. The transcript has 2 exons. The record is from RefSeq and is a predicted model, not a curated record.